This 23-nucleotide microRNA is filed under the name Eisenia fetida (common brandling worm). RNAcentral's name for it is "Efe-Let-7-P11_3p* (star (passenger))". The record is from RNAcentral. Lineage: Eukaryota; Metazoa; Annelida; Clitellata; Crassiclitellata; Lumbricidae.
CUGUACAACCCGCUAGCUUUCCC